This 572-nucleotide ribosomal RNA is filed under the name Salmonella enterica subsp. enterica serovar Infantis. Its description in RNAcentral is "partial 23S ribosomal RNA". It matches the Rfam family "Bacterial large subunit ribosomal RNA", at positions 711 to 1279 of the family's 2925-position model. The record is from RNAcentral. RNAcentral also lists the same sequence under 1 other name. Lineage: Bacteria; Pseudomonadati; Pseudomonadota; Gammaproteobacteria; Enterobacterales; Enterobacteriaceae.
AGACCCGAAACCCGGUGAUCUAGCCAUGGGCAGGUUGAAGGUUGGGUAACACUAACUGGAGGACCGAACCGACUAAUGUUGAAAAAUUAGCGGAUGACCUGUGGCUGGGGGUGAAAGGCCAAUCAAACCGGGAGAUAGCUGGUUCUCCCCGAAAGCUAUUUAGGUAGCGCCUCGUGAAUUCAUCUCCGGGGGUAGAGCACUGUUUCGGCUAGGGGGCCAUCCCGGCUUACCAACCCGAUGCAAACUGCGAAUACCGGAGAAUGUUAUCACGGGAGACACACGGCGGGUGCUAACGUCCGUCGUGAAGAGGGAAACAACCCAGACCGCCAGCUAAGGUCCCAAAGUCAUGGUUAAGUGGGAAACGAUGUGGGAAGGCCCAGACAGCCAGGAUGUUGGCUUAGAAGCAGCCAUCAUUUAAAGAAAGCGUAAUAGCUCACUGGUCGAGUCGGCCUGCGCGGAAGAUGUAACGGGGCUAAACCAUGCACCGAAGCUGCGGCAGCGACACUCAGGUGUUGUUGGGUAGGGGAGCGUUCUGUAAGCCUGCGAAGGUGGCCUGUGAGGGUUGCUGGAGG